UGGCUAAAAGCUGGGCAAACGGCAAACCAAAGGGCACUUUAAUGUACUACGUCAAUCAGAGAACUCGGCUUGACCUCCAUUUAAAUCAUUGACGAAGCCGCCGACAAGUGACAACGCUUGGCAACAGAACGGAAGAGCCGACCAGCACACGGACAAGAUGGAGGCUCCGAGGCUGCAGAGGAAACGCAUUGCAAACGUAAUCAAGUAAUCAAAAGUCCAAAUCAUGCCACUGACAGACCCAAACUUAGGCUGUGGAAGCAGCGGGCUGUGGCAAGAGUGGUGCAUUGCGUGCUCCGCCCGAUUGACAGCUCGACACGACAGACCGGCCGAGGGGGGUUGACAGACGCAACAUGCAAAGAUGGCACUUAACGAAAGCAGUCGACCGACAACUGAUUGAAGUGAAACAAACCAAUGAACAGACACUCAGGUCAUCUCUUGGUGUUUGGAUCAAAGAGGGUGGAGAGUGGAUCCCCAACUUCACAGCAAGUGCAACAGCAAGAAGAAGAACAAUGCUCGACCAAAUAGACAUCCAGGCAAUACACUUGGACACGUAGUCUUAAUACAAGCCAUGACAUUAGCAGAAAUCAAAAAACAAAUUACGAACUUUGACUUUUGCCAUUUGGCUUCAAAAGAAAAAAAAAACGAAGCAAAUACAAAAAUCAUUGCUCAAUCGACUACAGCAUUUGGCAUUAAAGUUGGCAUUGCAAACGAAUUCGCAAAUCCUUUCAACUGUUGUAUCUAUCACAUGUGGCAGAGGAAAUGCCUAACGAUUGGCAUUUAAAGAUUUGUUCGUAUUGGGAAACGGAGACAAACGAAAACAUGCAGCAAAUGUAUUGGAAGCCGGAGAAAUGUUAGACAAGAUAUAUUUCAGAGAUUGUUUGAAAGUUUGAGAAAAACAUUUGACUCGUGUAAAGCCGGGUAAUACCAGUAACUGUAUUUCAGGCACAUGUGAAAUGCAAACAAGCUGCUAUUGAUGCCGGGCCGGGCAAUUGGCCAUCCAUCCAUCCGUCCGACAACCCGCACAAUCUGACCCCCAUGACCUUGCCCACCCAUCGAUUGCUUUGAACUUGUAACUAAAGCUGGCACGUAGUUGAACCUUAGCUCACAACACAGACGCAGCACAUACCGGCUGGCGUCUAAGAGAAAGACAGUCACACACUGAAUAAGAGGGUAAGGAGAAAGCUACUGCAGCAACUAGAGAUGAGUCUGUUUCUCCAUAGGAAACCUGUUUAAAGCGAUUAGCAAAUCUUUUAUGUCCAGGCUACAAUAAAAACCGUUUUGCCAAAUAUAA
Drosophila virilis is the source of this 1291-nucleotide long non-coding RNA. RefSeq lists it as uncharacterized. NCBI's taxonomy places the organism in Eukaryota, Metazoa, Arthropoda, Insecta, Diptera, Drosophilidae. The record is from RefSeq and is a predicted model, not a curated record.